This 381-nucleotide ribosomal RNA is filed under the name uncultured marine Chaetocerotaceae. RNAcentral describes it as "SSU rRNA". It matches the Rfam family "Eukaryotic small subunit ribosomal RNA", at positions 587 to 972 of the family's 1831-position model. The record is from RNAcentral. Lineage: Eukaryota; Bacillariophyta; Thalassiosirophyceae; Chaetocerotales; Chaetocerotaceae.
AGCUCCAAUAGCGUAUAUUAAAGUUGCUGCAGUUAAAAAGCUCGUAGUUGCAUUUCCGAGGCAAGGGAUUAGUCCGACCUUUGGUGGGUAUUUAAUCCUCUUGCCUCGUCCUUGAGUGGUGCUUCUUGGUAUUAAGUUAUCGAGGAGAUAGCCGCUCAUCGUUUACUGUGAGAAAAUUAGAGUGUUCAAAGCAGGCUUAUGCCGUUGAAUAUAUUAGCAUGGAAUAAUAAGAUAGGACCUCGGUACUAUUUUGUUGGUUUGAGAACCAAGGUAAUGAUGAAUAGGGACAGUUGGGAGUAUUCGUAUUCAGUUGUCAGAGGUGAAAUUCUUAGAUUUACGGAAGACGAACUACUGCGAAAGCAUUUGCCAAGGAUGUUUUCA